Molecule: ribosomal RNA, 425 nt
Filed under: uncultured bacterium
Lineage: Bacteria
Description: partial 16S ribosomal RNA
Rfam family: Bacterial small subunit ribosomal RNA
Source: RNAcentral
GUGGGGAAUCUUGCGCAAUGGGCGAAAGCCUGACGCAGCCAUGCCGCGUGAAUGAUGAAGGUCUUAGGAUUGUAAAAUUCUUUCACCGGGGACGAUAAUGACGGUACCCGGAGAAGAAGCCCCGGCUAACUUCGUGCCAGCAGCCGCGGUAAUACGAAGGGGGCUAGCGUUGCUCGGAAUUACUGGGCGUAAAGGGCGCGUAGGCGGACAGUUUAGUCAGAGGUGAAAGCCCAGGGCUCAAACUUGGAAUUGCCUUUGAUACUGGCUGUCUUGAGUACGGGAGAGGUGAGUGGAACUCCGAGUGUAGAGGUGAAAUUCGUAGAUAUACGGAAGAACACCAGUGGCGAAGGCGACUCACUGGCCCGUUACUGACGCUGAGGCGCGAAAGCGUGGGGAGCAAACAGGAUUAGAAACCCGUGUAGUCC